RNAcentral lists this long non-coding RNA (658 nucleotides) under Monodelphis domestica (gray short-tailed opossum). Its description in RNAcentral is "lncRNA (ENSMODG00000031583.2)". The record is from RNAcentral. Lineage: Eukaryota; Metazoa; Chordata; Mammalia; Didelphimorphia; Didelphidae.
UGCCCCCCCACCCACGUUACUGUUCAGCAGUUGUUUGGGACCCUGCUGUGCCAUUUGGAUCAUCUGUUCUCUACAUGUGUUCAGCCCAGUGGACUUGUGCUGUGUUUCCUUCAAGACUCAGCUCAAGUACAGCCUUCUACGUGAAUCUUUUCCAGAUGCCCACAACUGCGAAUUCACCAAGAACUGAAAAAUCGAGCAUUAAUUUUGAAUAUUUUAUGUGAAGAAACUGAACCAAAGAAAGGUUAAGUCACUUGCCUAGCGUCACACAGAAGAGAUUGGAUUGGAAGUCAAAUUUUCCUGACUCUAGGCACCACCUACCUGCAAUUUCCAUUCUGAGUCAAUUUCUCCAUACUGAAAAGUUUUCAAGAAUGGUUAAGAUCAUAACUGUCUCUAUCAUCUAAUGACCAGAUUACAUAAAGAGAAGUUCAUCACCAAUUAUUUUACAACUGUUAAUGGAAGUUUUGACACACCAAAUGCAGGAAAUAUAGGAAUAGAAACUAAGUUGCUCAGUCCUCACUAUUUAUUUCUGCUUUUGUAAUGACAGUGGUGGAGGGGUGGAAAAAUAGAAAAGGAGGCAGAGGAUGCUAGGAAUCACAGUUUUAGGCCACUUAUAAAUAUCAAUUAACUGUAGAUAAUAAAAAUGUGAAGUCCUUGUGCA